UGAGCUACAGUGACCAUUUAGCCAGUAAACAUACGUGAAAUACCGUCUUCUCGACAUAAAAAUGUACACCGUGGCUUCCAGACAUAUCGAGUGUGGCUGAGUAGAGGUUUGGAGGAUUUUGAAGGUUUUGCCAGUGGUCCCCGCAGACAUCUGUUGUUUGGAAAAAUACUGAAAGCUGUCUCCCCGUGGGACAUGGGGCAGAGAAUUUGGAGAAAAAGGGACAGCAAAGUGGUCGUUGCAGUCAUUUAAUCACCUGAGAAGACUAACACGUACAUACUUCGUCAGAGUGAAUUCAAUUCUCUAGCACCACACAAGUGGUUGCUGGGUGAGACAAUCCAGUGCUAUCUCAGAGCCAUCCUGAACAUGAAAGGGUUUGGAAAAAGAAUAUACCCCUUAAAUCAUUACUCAGCUGGAGUCAUAGUUUUUGGAGAACGGUCUGCCAUGAGUAAUCACUCAUUGUGCAAGGUUAACUUUGACAACUAUGAUGGAGUGGUAGCAUUCAUGAAUGUUGGACACAACCACUGGAGAUUGUUGUAUAUGCACAAGUUGAACCAAAAUGUGUACAUCGUGGAUCCCUUGGGUCAGGAUGAGGACAAAGACUUGGGCGUCGCUGCAUCACGUUUCGCCAGUUCUUCAACAUGCAGCAGAACCUCUACCAGAAGACUGAUUGGGUGGGUGUUAAGUGGCAGCCAGCUACAAUCACCCACAGCAUCCAAAAGGAUGGUUAUAGCUGCGGUGUUUUUGUCAUGAAGAUGGCUGCAGAUGUGGUGGGGGCUUUUCCAGUUGUCCCCCAGAAGAUCGAAAUACCCACACUGCGAAAAGACAUAAAAGAACUAAGGAUCGACAUGGCAAAAACUCUUCUGCAGUGCUCUGUCUUCAGUGAAGAAGACCAUUGCUCCAGUUGUGGCUUGGAGUAUCCAAAGGCAACAGGACAGAGCCAAACCACAAAAUGGGUAUAAUGAAGGCCAUAAUUGAAAAGGACCACAAGGCUGAAGAACAAAAGGUACUUUUUAUUGUAAUCAUUACAAUUUUUAUUUAUUUAUUGUUCCAUAUGAAAAACUUUAUCUGCAGCAUACCCCAGGACGUGACCUUCAUCCCGCAGGUGCCCAGGUUUACACAAUGUAAACGCGUUUUUGCCUGUAUCUUCCAAAGCAUACAUCGCACAUUCAAAAGUUUUAUACCCACAUGUUCAGGGAAUUGUUCUGAAUCACGUGCCCAAUUCUGCCAAGCGUUGGCAAAUACAAUCUAGAGACUGUCAUGAUACAAAGUUGGACAAGGAAUCUUUAUGUCACAAUAAUUGAGCGUUAGUAAUGAACAAAUAUUUAUACCUAGCUAGCUAAUCACAAACUCUUACAUAUCUUGGCCACAGUACAAGCUAUUCAGACAAACUUUUAUACAUCUGUUAAGAAUGCCACUGUGAGGCGCGGCACAAAAAAUCAGUGUACUUUGCUCUCUAGUAGGCGCUAUUAAACAUCUUAAAAAUAUCAUGUCAUGAUCAUUCUCAAAGCAAGUAACAUCUUGUGCAGUGUUGUGAGUGUGGUGCUAGCAAUACCAGGAACUUCAGGGUCCGCCUGUCAGUCGCCGGGCAGGGCCAUGCCCGACUCGCGCAGGUGUCUUGGACCCCGUUCAUAACUGCUUGCAGUUGUAAUCGAUUCUUACUAUUUAGAUUUCUCAAUUCUGUCAUUCUCUUUCUCUUAAUUCCACUAUUAUAUGUACAUUGUCAGUGGUAGAUGAAUCUGUAAAUCUACAUCUUUUAUUUCUUGAAUGAUGUGUUCUUGUUGUUUGCACACAAAAAAUAAAUAAUAAUAAUAUUACA
Molecule: long non-coding RNA, 1816 nt
Organism: Epinephelus fuscoguttatus (brown-marbled grouper)
Lineage: Eukaryota; Metazoa; Chordata; Actinopteri; Perciformes; Serranidae
Exons: 9
Source: RefSeq, a predicted model, not a curated record